GACGAACGCUGGCGGCGUGCUUAACACAUGCAAGACGAACGGAAAGGCCCUGCUUUUGUGGGGUGCUCGAGUGGCGAACGGGUGAGUAACACGUGAGUAACCUGCCCUUGACUUUGGGAUAACUUCAGGAAACUGGGGCUAAUACCGGAUAGGAGCUCCUGCUGCAUGGUGGGGGUUGGAAAGUUUCGGCGGUUGGGGAUGGACUCGCGGCUUAUCAGCUUGUUGGUGGGGUAGUGGCUUACCAAGGCUUUGACGGGUAGCCGGCCUGAGAGGGUGACCGGCCACAUUGGGACUGAGAUACGGCCCAGACUGCUACGGGAGGCAGCAGUGGGGAAUAUUGCACAAUGGGCGGAAGCCUGAUGCAGCAACGCCGCGUGCGGGAUGACGGCCUUCGGGUUGUAAACCGCUUUCGCCUGUGACGAAGCGUGAGUGACGGUAAUGGGUAAAGAAGCACCGGCUAACUACGUG
This 468-nucleotide ribosomal RNA is filed under the name uncultured bacterium. RNAcentral describes it as "partial 16S ribosomal RNA". It matches the Rfam family "Bacterial small subunit ribosomal RNA", at positions 28 to 507 of the family's 1533-position model. The record is from RNAcentral.